CCUACGGGCGGCAGCAGUGGGGAAUAUUGGGCAAUGGGCGCAAGCCUGACCCAGCAACGCCGCGUGAAGGAAGAAGGCUUUCGGGUUGUAAACUUCUUUUAAGAGGGAAGAGCAGAAGACGGUACCUCUUGAAUAAGCCACGGCUAACUACUUGCCAGCAGCCGCGGUAAUACGUAGGUGGCAAGCGUUGUCCGGAUUUACUGGGUGUAAAGGGCGUGUAGCCGGGAAGGCAAGUCAGAUGUGAAAUCUGUAGGUUCAACCUCCAAAUUGCAUUUGAAACUGUUUUUCUUGAGUACUGGAGAGGCAGACGGAAUUCCUGGUGGAGCGGUGAAAUGCGUAGAUAUAAGGAGGAACACCAGUGGCGAAGGCGGUCUGCUGGACAGCAACUGACGGUGAGGCGCGAAAGCGUGGGGAGCAAACAGGAUUAGAUACCCGGGUAGUC
RNAcentral lists this ribosomal RNA (442 nucleotides) under uncultured bacterium. RNAcentral's name for it is "partial 16S ribosomal RNA". It matches the Rfam family "Bacterial small subunit ribosomal RNA", at positions 338 to 795 of the family's 1533-position model. The record is from RNAcentral.